RNAcentral lists this ribosomal RNA (507 nucleotides) under Listeria monocytogenes. RNAcentral's name for it is "bacterial SSU rRNA". It matches the Rfam family "Bacterial small subunit ribosomal RNA", at positions 1033 to 1533 of the family's 1533-position model. The record is from RNAcentral. Lineage: Bacteria; Bacillati; Bacillota; Bacilli; Caryophanales; Listeriaceae.
GACAGGUGGUGCAUGGUUGUCGUCAGCUCGUGUCGUGAGAUGUUGGGUUAAGUCCCGCAACGAGCGCAACCCUUGAUUUUAGUUGCCAGCAUUUAGUUGGGCACUCUAAAGUGACUGCCGGUGCAAGCCGGAGGAAGGUGGGGAUGACGUCAAAUCAUCAUGCCCCUUAUGACCUGGGCUACACACGUGCUACAAUGGAUAGUACAAAGGGUCGCGAAGCCGCGAGGUGGAGCUAAUCCCAUAAAACUAUUCUCAGUUCGGAUUGUAGGCUGCAACUCGCCUACAUGAAGCCGGAAUCGCUAGUAAUCGUGGAUCAGCAUGCCACGGUGAAUACGUUCCCGGGCCUUGUACACACCGCCCGUCACACCACGAGAGUUUGUAACACCCGAAGUCGGUAGGGUAACCUUUAUGGAGCCAGCCGCCGAAGGUGGGACAGAUAAUUGGGGUGAAGUCGUAACAAGGUAGCCGUAUCGGAAGGUGCGGCUGGAUCACCUCCUUUCUAAGGAA